This is a non-coding RNA of Anas platyrhynchos (mallard), 2164 nucleotides long. The record is from RefSeq and is a predicted model, not a curated record. NCBI's taxonomy places the organism in Eukaryota, Metazoa, Chordata, Aves, Anseriformes, Anatidae.
CCCUUCUUUUGGCACUCGUAGGGCUGAUAUGUGUUCAGUGUUGCAUACUGUGGGUGAGGGUCCUUAUUUGCCAUAUUCACAGCUACCUGUGAGAGGUGAUGCAGUGCCCAGGGCUCAAUGGGCAAUUUGUGGAAUUUGAGGUCUUUGUAUCUGUGGUUUUCAUUAUUAAGGGUCAGGCUGGAAACCCAGCUUUCCCCCAGACCUCAGCUCAUCUGAGCUGAAAGCUGCCAUGUGUGAGGCUGCCCCACGCCACCAGCUCCAGGUCCGGGCACAUCAUGAAUGCAUGGCCCAAGCAUGGGUCUCAUCUCCCAGGCUGUGCAACUGCUGUCAAAAUCUAGAAAUGCAAGAGGGAGUUUCAUGUUUUGCCACUGAUAGCUAUGUAACGAUUGUGCUAAUGACAACAAAGCUUGAAUUGAAGGAGGUUACAAGAGGCAAAUGGGAAUCAGAAUGCAUCAGCAGGAAAAAAAUAUGCAUCUCUAUCAAUCGAUUAAGCUGAAAUAAAAUUGCAGUUGUUUGACAGCUGUAAGUGAUUUAUCUUUAAAUAGCAGCAGCUCUGAUCCCUGAGAAAUCGUGACUCCUGCAAGCCUGGCAGAGAGUAAUUAAGGGACAAGCUCAGCAGUCAAUAAAUGCCCCUUGGGAUUACAGGUUCACAGCAGACCCACAAGAUGUAGUCCUCUGACAAAGGGUUCAAAAGGUUGACCUUGCCAUGCAAGAUCACCAGGGGCUGCACAGGGCAAUGGUGUAAGGCAAAGGUGGAAGAGAGAUUUCUCCGCUCGGCAGUUUCCACGUUACUUUCUGCUUUUGCAGAAGAAACAGCCAUGGAUACAAGGCAAACAUAAUCAGUGGUAAGCAGUAUGUUCCCUGGGGGAAUACAAGAAGGACAAUAAAACUUAACAUUUUGCUGAAGCACCUGCGCGAUGAACAUUACCACAAUUAGAAGCAAGUUGACAUGACUGGGGCUCACCCAGCCCCACAUGCUGUGCAGAAAAGCAGUCAGUGGCUCCUGUACUCUGGUUCCCCUCUUCCAGCCUUUCAUUAGGACUAGAGAUGGUUGAAGUGUUGGGACCACCCUGGGCAGACCAUACCCUUACUCAACCCAGCAAGUAGGAUGGCAAGAUUCUGCUGCCCAUCCACAAGGCACAAAGGCACCGACUCCCUGCAUCCACCCUCAUCCCUUGCAGGGCAUCCAUGGGAGUACCUGAAUUUCUCAGGUUUUCUUCUGUAGGCAGCCUCAGAGAUAAGCAGCUGGCACCAAUAAAAGCCCUGAGAGCAACAGAAUUAUCAAAAGGAAAACAUAAUAAAUAUAAACGUACCUCACCUUACUCUAAUGUAAAGGCACUGCUAUAUGGAGGAGGGAUGUGGGAGCCUGCUACUCCCACAGUGCUCUUCAGACAGAUUUUUUUUUCUUUUUUUUUUUAAAGACUUAAUUUCUUCUUCCCAGUUAAAAUAUUUUGCUGGUGCCCCAAGCUGCAAAAAUGGCUUCAAGUCCUGAGCAUUGGCUGUAUCUCUGUCAGAUGUGUUAUAUUUCUGGUCAAGGUUUGUUGGAAAUUGAAUAUUCUGGGCUCUAAUUUCUAAAGUGAUUUUUAUUUUGAAGUCAAGAAUCAAUUUAUUGGUAUCAGGAGCUGGAAGAUAUGGCACCAUGACAAUGUCAGUGUUGCCUUCACCUGUUCACUGAUAAUUAUUUCUGUGAUUUUAUUUUUGCCUUUUGAACAACUAGCACCUGGAGACACGGCAUUACCAAAUAAUCUCAUUUUAAAAUAAAUGAAAAAGAAAGGAGAUAAGGGAAAAACAAGUUUGUCACAGAUGAGAACCUGAAGAGUGUUCUUUAUAGCAUCAGAGAAAAGUAAAAAUAACUCAUUGUAUAUACCUUAGUGUUAAAAACAUUUUUGUACUCAUUGUUUAUGAGUUAAUUGCAUGAUUUUUUAUUUUGAUUGUCUAGACCCCAGUUUCUAAACAAGUGUGCAAUCUUUUCUUCAAAAGAAAUAAAAAGAUACCACUCCUAGAUUAUUGGAAAAAAGAUCCCUGUCUCUUGUUUAUUUAUUUAUUUAGAAAGCACAUACAGCAAUGCAUGGGGAGGGGAAGAGAGAUGCAAAACAGGUGAGCAUACAAAUCCAUCUCAGAAGAAAUAGUGAGACACUUCCCAGGUGAUUAGUAGUACAUCAGU